ACUCCUACGGGAUGCAGCAGUGGGGAAGUAUUCACAAUGGGAAACCGGUAGCAUGCAGCCAUGCCGCGUGUGUGAAGAAGGCCUUCGGGUUGUAAAGCACUUUCAGUAGGGAGGAAGGUAGUGUAGUUAACACCUGCACUAUUUUGACGUUACCUACAGAAGAAGCACCGGCUAACUCCGUGCCAGCAGCCGCGGUAAUACGGAGGGUGCGAGCGUUAAUCGGAAUUACUGGGCGUAAAGCGC
This 243-nucleotide ribosomal RNA is filed under the name uncultured bacterium. RNAcentral describes it as "partial 16S ribosomal RNA". It matches the Rfam family "Bacterial small subunit ribosomal RNA", at positions 335 to 568 of the family's 1533-position model. The record is from RNAcentral.